Molecule: long non-coding RNA, 840 nt
Filed under: Ananas comosus (pineapple)
Lineage: Eukaryota; Viridiplantae; Streptophyta; Magnoliopsida; Poales; Bromeliaceae
Description: long non-coding RNA (ACOM_LNC041238)
Source: RNAcentral
UAUUUUAGUACGGAGAUUCAUACGACACUAUUAAAUAAAAUAUAGUUAGAAUAAAAAAAUAUAGUAAUAUGUUUCUGUAUUUUUCGAUUAGAUCGUAGAAAAUAUAUUGUAAUAUGCGAAACAUAAUAUUACGUACGAAAACAAUAAUGAUAUUUUCCUAUUGCACUUUCUCACCGCACAUAACACAAUCCCUCUGCAAUCUCAGUGAAGCCUAAGUUGCCAAUACAGUGAGAUUUUUUAGAAAAAAGGAUAAUUGCCCAUAUACCCUUCAAAACUUCAAAAAUGUCUAAUUUAUCCUCUCUUUUUUUUUCAAAUAUACCCCUCAUAUGUUCUUCCAGUAAUUCAAAUAUACCUCCGCAGUUACCACCCGUUAAGUUAUCUCGCGUUAAACGUGAGUUAAAUGUUUAUUAGAGUUUUAAAAAAAUCAAAAUAUUUUUUUGCCCUUAAUUUAAGGGCAAAUAUGAAAAGUUGGUGAUGAUAAAAAAAUAUAUUUAAAAAGAUAAAAAAAUAAAGUAUUUAUUUUGUCCCUAACUUAAGGACAAAUGAAAAAAGUUGGUGUUGAUAGAAGAUUAUAUUUGAAAUGAUAAAAUAAUUACUUUAUAGAGAUAACGGUCGUUACUAACCGUGUACUAAUAGAAAUUUAUCUAUAGGGUAUAUUUGAAAUAACUUAAAACGUUAAAAGAUUAAUUUUAAUAUUAGUCUUCUAAAAGUGAUAAAUCAGAAAAUCGGAAACUUUUCAGAAAUAUAUAAGCAAUUGCCCCUAAAAGGAAUGUACAGAGCUUUAUGUGAUUUAUAAACAAUUUUGAACGGACGAUUCAACCUUUUAAAAUUUUAGUUUUG